UACGUAGGGUGCAAGCGUUAAUCGGAAUUACUGGGCGUAAAGCGUGCGCAGGCGGUUUUGUAAGUUUGUCGUGAAAGCCCCGGGCUCAACCUGGGAAUUGCGAUGGAGACUGCAAGGCUUGAAUCUGGCAGAGGGGGGUAGAAUUCCACGUGUAGCAGUGAAAUGCGUAGAGAUGUGGAGGAACACCGAUGGCGAAGGCAGCCCCCUGGGUCAAGAUUGACGCUCAUGCACGAAAGCGUGGGGAGCAAACAGG
This 253-nucleotide ribosomal RNA is filed under the name uncultured bacterium. RNAcentral's name for it is "partial 16S ribosomal RNA". It matches the Rfam family "Bacterial small subunit ribosomal RNA", at positions 524 to 776 of the family's 1533-position model. The record is from RNAcentral.